CUCAGGAUGAACGCUAGCGACAGGCUAACACAUGCAAGUCGAGGGGCAGACAUAAAAGUAAGCAAUACUUUGGUGGCGACCGGCGCACGGGUGAGUAACGCGUAUGCAACCUACCUAUCAGAGGGGAAUAACCCGGCGAAAGUCGGACUAAUACCGCAUAAAACAGGGGCACCGCAUGGUGAUAUUUGUUAAAGAAAUUCGCUGAUAGAUGGGCAUGCGUUCCAUUAGGUAGUUGGUGAGGUAACGGCUCACCAAGCCGACGAUGGAUAGGGGAACUGAGAGGUUGGUCCCCCACACUGGUACUGAGACACGGACCAGACUCCUACGGGAGGCAGCAGUGAGGAAUAUUGGUCAAUGGGCGGGAGCCUGAACCAGCCAAGUCGCGUGAAGGGAAAAGAAGGAUCUAUGGUUCGUAAACUUCUUUUGCAGGGGAAUAAAGUGCAGGACGUGUCCUGUUUUGUAUGUACCCUGAGAAUAAGGAUCGGCUAACUCCGUGCCAGCAGCUGC
This 507-nucleotide ribosomal RNA is filed under the name uncultured bacterium. Its description in RNAcentral is "bacterial SSU rRNA". It matches the Rfam family "Bacterial small subunit ribosomal RNA", at positions 23 to 518 of the family's 1533-position model. The record is from RNAcentral.